UUAAAGUUUUAUUUUGAUUUAAAAAUUAAAUAUAAUUUUGAUUUAUAUAUAAAUUUUAGUAAUAUGGUUUAAGAAUUUUAAAUAAGUUUUUAAUUUAAAUAUUUAGUAAUAAUUAAUUUUAAUAAUUAAGGAAACUUAGAUUUAGCAAUAAUUAUUAAUAUUAACAAUAUUUGUGCCAGCAGUUGCGGUUAUACAAAUAAUGUAGUUUAAUUUUUUUUGGUUUUAAUAAAUUUAAAUAUUUGAGGAUUUUAUAAUAAGAUUUAUUAGGUGAAAUUUUAAAUUUUAAUAAAAUUUUAUUUGAAUAAAUUAUUUAGGAAGUUUUAUUUUUAAACUAGGAUUAGAUACCCUAUUAUUUUUAAUGUAAAUAUAUUAGGCUAGAUUAGUAUUAGUUAUGUUCUUGAAAAUUAAAAAAUUUGGCGGUAUUUUAGUCUAUUCAGAGGAAUCUGUUCUGUAAUCGAUAAUCCACGAUUAAAUUUACUUAUUUUUAGUUUGUAUAUCGUCGUAGGUUAAAUAUUUUAGUAGAAUAUAAAUAUUUAAAAUUUUUAAUUAAGAAAAUAAAUCAGAUCAAGGUGCAGCUUGUAAAUAAGAAGAAAUGGAUUACAAUAAAUUUAUUUAAUUGAAUAAAUGUUUUUAAAGUAUUUUGAAAUUGGAUUUGAAUGUAAUUUUUAUUAUAUAAUAGAAAUGAUUUAAGCUCUAAAAUAUGUACAUAUCGCCCGUCGCUUUCAUUAUAAAGUGAAAUAAGUCGUAACAAAGUAGGUCUACUGGAAUGUGGACCUGGAAUGA
Molecule: non-coding RNA, 783 nt
Filed under: Palaestes freyreissi
Lineage: Eukaryota; Metazoa; Arthropoda; Insecta; Coleoptera; Cucujidae
Source: RNAcentral